Molecule: ribosomal RNA, 254 nt
Filed under: uncultured bacterium
Lineage: Bacteria
Description: partial 16S ribosomal RNA
Rfam family: Bacterial small subunit ribosomal RNA
Source: RNAcentral
CACGUAGGGUGCAAGCGUUAAUCGGAAUUACUGGGCGUAAAGCGUGCGCAGGCGGUUGUGUAAGUCAGGUGUGAAAUCCCCGGGCUUAACCUGGGAACUGCAUUGGUGACUGGCAGGCUUUGAGUGUGGCAGAGGGAGGUAGAAUUCCACGUGUAGCAGUGAAAUGCGUAGAGAUGUGGAGGAAUACCGAUGGCGAAGGCAGCCUCCUGGGCCAACACUGACGCUCAUGCACGAAAGCGUGGGGAGCAAACAGG